CUUUUUGUCUGCUCAGAGAGAACUCAGUUUUUAUUUUAUUUUAUUUUGCGGUUCCUUCGAUUGCACUGAUUCAUACAAUUCUCUUUCUUUCUUCUCUCAGUUAUCCCGUAUCGCCCAAAUACCCACCAAGGGAAAAAAGCAAAAACCACAAGUUAAGGAGAGUUUAAAGCGAGCGAAAAUUCAAGAAGCCAAAUGAACAUAACACGUACCAUCCCCCCCCCCCUGAAAUAUAUUUAAACUUUUGAUUUGAUGGAUCUAUAGAUCUAACCCUUUUAUACCCACAUGUACCUCUCUGUUUCUUUUGGAUCUCCAUCCUUUUCAUCUGCUGUAAUUUAGUAGCUCACCAGAAACCGCGCAGAUAAGCUUACUUUGUAUUGAGGGGAGACUGGUGGGGUUUUAUUGGACCGAUUCCUCCACAUCCAAAAUUGGAUGCAAUACUACUCCGUCGCCCCGGUGAGAUGAGGGAUGUUAUCAAGGUUGAUGAACUUUUUGAGGGCCUGCUGGCGGCCGUCCUCAGAACGUUAUGUCCACGCGAAUUCGGAUGCAGCAGGCCGGCAAGAUGGGC
Molecule: unclassified non-coding RNA, 565 nt
Filed under: Hevea brasiliensis (rubber tree)
Lineage: Eukaryota; Viridiplantae; Streptophyta; Magnoliopsida; Malpighiales; Euphorbiaceae
Source: RNAcentral